GAUAUUUCGUGUAAUCGCUAUAUGUUACGACAUAUAGAGGAAAGUCCAUGCUCACACAGUCUGAGAUGACUGUAGUGUUCGUGCUUGAUGAAACAAUAAGUCAAGGCAAUAUUCGAUAUUGACGGCAACGACCUAACCUAAGUCUUUUGAUACGGUUACAUUAGUUUGAAAGUGCCACAGUGACGUAGCUUUAUUAGAAAUAAUGAAGGUGGAACGCGGUAAACCCCUCGAGUGAGCAAUCCAAAUUUGGUAGGAGCACUUGUCUAACGGAAUUCAACGUAUAGACGAGGAAAAGUACAGCAUACUUUUCAGACAGAUGAUUACAACUGAAGUACCAGUGUAACUAGUGCACGUAAUGAGUACAUCAGUACAGAACAUGGCUUAUAGAAAUA
RNAcentral lists this RNase P RNA (392 nucleotides) under Staphylococcus pseudintermedius ED99. Its description in RNAcentral is "bacterial RNase P class B". It matches the Rfam family "Bacterial RNase P class B". Rfam says of the family: Ribonuclease P (RNase P) is a ubiquitous endoribonuclease, found in archaea, bacteria and eukarya as well as chloroplasts and mitochondria. Its best characterised activity is the generation of mature 5'-ends of tRNAs by cleaving the 5'-leader elements of precursor-tRNAs. The record is from RNAcentral. Lineage: Bacteria; Bacillati; Bacillota; Bacilli; Caryophanales; Staphylococcaceae.